UACGAAGGGGGCGAGCGUUGUUCGGAUUUACUGGGCGUAAAGGGCGCGCAGGCGGCUCAUUUUGUCAGGCGUGAAAGCCCCGGGCUUAACCUGGGAACUGCGUUUGAUACGGAUGGGCUAGAGUUCGGGAGAGGAGAGUGGAAUUCCCAGUGUAGAGGUGAAAUUCGUAGAUAUUGGGAAGAACACCGGUGGCGAAGGCGGCUCUCUGGACCGAUACUGACGCUGAGGUGCGAAAGCGUGGGGAGCAAACAGG
Molecule: ribosomal RNA, 253 nt
Filed under: uncultured bacterium
Lineage: Bacteria
Description: partial 16S ribosomal RNA
Rfam family: Bacterial small subunit ribosomal RNA
Source: RNAcentral